CCCAGUACUGAUGGGCAAGACUGCUGCAUGGUUCUCACCCCUGCAGGUGGAUUUAAAAUCAUAUCUGACCAAUACAGAACAUCCCCCAAGAAAGCAGGCUGCUUUGUAAAGUCAUUUAGUUUAUCUGUGCCUCAGUGGAUAGUUCUGUCGUCCAGCUUCAUCCUGCUCAGAAAGACAGAAGAGCAAGAGACUCCUCCCGGUCCCCAUGUCACUGGCAACGGGAGAUCAUCGCCCCAUCGUCUCUGAGUUUGCUCUUGUGAAGCUCCCACUGCAGCAGAAUUGUGAAGCUUUUGACCUUGUCCCUUGGUGGCUUCAGGUGCAAUCUGGUACAGCAUUUGCCUGUUGA
Molecule: long non-coding RNA, 346 nt
Organism: Zalophus californianus (California sea lion)
Lineage: Eukaryota; Metazoa; Chordata; Mammalia; Carnivora; Otariidae
Exons: 3
Source: RefSeq, a predicted model, not a curated record